Molecule: long non-coding RNA, 2627 nt
Filed under: Homo sapiens (human)
Lineage: Eukaryota; Metazoa; Chordata; Mammalia; Primates; Hominidae
Description: HSALNT0331410
Source: RNAcentral
UUUUUUUUUUUUUUCCUUGAGUAGGAUUCGGUUACCCAUUCCAGCCUCCUGUGGCUGGAGGACCUGGAGGAACUUUCGAAGCCAUGAAAGGCCUCUCUCUGACUUUGCUGAGGGCCGGGGUGGGGUGCGCCCGCGGUGAGCCCUGGCCGAGGUCUGUGCAGGCCUCUUGUCUCGGAGGCCAGCUGCUCGGCAGAAGGGAACGACCUACGGCGGAGCGGGCAGCGUGCUUCGGGAUGCCGCCUCACCCAGGCUGAACAGGCAUCCGUGGAAAUUCCUGAACCCUCAGCUAAAAUCUCGUGCUCCCAGACGCCAUUCUCCAUGUGUAGAGCCACCUUUGGGUGUUUCUGGGGGCAGAGAUGAGGCAAAGGUGGUAGUUUUGCCAGAUGUCCAAGCCCUGAUGUUCCACACCUCUCAGUGUAGCAUUCAAGACCCUUGGCCAAAACUGGUGGCCUUGGGGCCAGACUUGUGCAGGAGACCCUUGAACCAGGAGGGUCUGCCCACAGCACCAGAGGCUCCCCUUCCCCUUCCUUUCAGAUGCUCCUCUGCCCCCACUGCCACCCCUGCCUGUCAUCCUCCUUCCUACUGGCAUCUUGCUUUUUCCCAAGUCUCUCUGAGCUUUGGGGGGGCUCUACCUCCUCCAGCUCACAAAAUCACAAGUGUUUUUGUUCUGCUUCUUAAAGGGACACACACGCGUUGUCUCCUAGGGAAAGGUUGAGCUUUGGGGUGUGACCACCUGUAUCUUCAGAUUUUCUGGUACUGACUUGUGGUUGUAUGUGAGAAGGAGCUUGAGGUCCCCAAAGGACACCCAGGGCUCAGGAGUGGCUGCGGUCCAUGGGGGUGCCCACUCGGAGCCAGAAUCAAAGAGUGCGUGCUGGCUUAGGUGCCUUCUCAGAAUUCCCAGAUUUGCUGAUUUGGGGCUGGGGGCAGGGUGGGGGAAGUGGGGAGGGCACAGCUCAGCAGGAAGUCGUGGAAUCCCUGCAUGGGAAAGUUAUUUCCUUUUCAAGAACAUCAGGAGAAAGUUUCAACUUGGUGCUAACGUGUCCUUAACAUCUCUCUGACACUUGCUUAAGUAUCCUGUGCAGAGGGGAAGCCAUUCCUGGCUCAGAGCAGGCAGCAGCAGCUGGCUAGAAUUGAAUACAUUGGUCUGUUUGGGGGGGAUGAUGGUCUGAGUAUGUAUGACAAGUGAUACUGAUUUUCCUUUUAUGGUUGUUUUCUUUUGGCAUGAAUUCAUUUAAAUUUUUGAAAAUUUAAUCAAAUUCUGCAGAAGAAAAAGUAGUGAUUAUGCUAUUAGUACAAGGAUACUGCAAGAAUCGUGAAGAUGCUCCUAGAAAGAACCAGAUAAGCUCUUCACUUUACGCUGGGGAAGCUGAGGCCCUGCGAAGUCUGUGCGCACCUGGCGUCUGAGCAGGCCUCGGGUCUCAGAUCUCCUGGGCCGUUCCCUCAGGGGCGGAGACCUAAGGCCCUUCCUUAUCACUUGGCUGAUGACACUGCUGAGAUUAUGUCUUGCUGUCCUUUAUCCUGCUGCUUCUCUCAUGGGAAGCCAGGACUCGGCAGUAGUUGAUCCUCUACAAACAGCAGAUGAUUCUCAAAAACUUUCAGUGCACUGAGAAUUUAGCUGAAAUGACACUUUGGUUUUAUUGACAUCUGAAAGUUGCUGGCAUUUUGCUGACUUUCUGCGACAGAAAAUUUACAAUAUUUCCUCCCUGUCUCUCUCCUUUCCUUCUCUGCUUCCUUUUUCAUUCAGCCACUAGUGGAAAUGCCCAGUGUUUUCCAGGCCCUGGGGGACUCGAAGAUCUCAUGGGUGUGGUCCUCCCCUCAAAGAAGGGGCAGGGCCUGGGUGACCCCUUGGGUGAUGGACACAAACUCGCCUGUUCUCCCAGUCCUUCCCAGCUGCCUCCCUCACUCAUGGGACUCUGCACAACAGAGGCAGGAGCUGACCUUCCUAGGAAGAAGGGGAGGGACCUGGGGCAGUGCCACAAGGACCCAGACACGAGCACGGGCCCUGCAGAGAGGAGGGGGUGGCAGGCACGCUGGGCUGGGGCACAGCAUGAGCUGGAGUGUGGCAGCAUGGACCAGGCAUGCAUGGGGAUUUGGCAGGAAGGAUUUGCGCUUCCCAUCCACGAAUUUGUAAACUGUCCCUGUGCGUCCCAUACUGCACUUAGUAAUCUGUGAGGGAGAAAAAAAAAAAAACAAUCACUGUGAAGAGCUGGAGAAUUCUUAGUUCUUGCCAGAAGGUGAAGCCCUUGCCUUGACAUCACCGUCUUUUGUCCUGGUUGGUGUGUUCGUCUCCACUGGCUGCUGUAACAAAUGACUGCAAACUUACUGAUUUAAAACAACAGAAAUGUAUUCGCUCACAGUUCUGGAGACCACAAGUCCAGAAUCGGUUUUACUUGGCCCAGAUCAAGGUACCUUCAGGGCUGAGCCUCCUCCAGAGGCUCUGAGGAGAAUCUGUCGCCGGCCUCUCCCAGCUCCUGGGGCUGCCGCGUUCCUUGGCUUGUGGCUGUGUCGCUCCAGUCUCUGUGCUGGCUGCAGCCCUCCACUGUCUCCUCAGGGGAUUCCCAAGUUCAGAAAAACCUUCUUUUUAUAACUUUAUGGUAUAGCAUCAGUAAACAGUGCUUUUCAAUUGA